Molecule: long non-coding RNA, 27207 nt
Filed under: Citrus sinensis (sweet orange)
Lineage: Eukaryota; Viridiplantae; Streptophyta; Magnoliopsida; Sapindales; Rutaceae
Description: long non-coding RNA (CSIN_LNC002291)
Source: RNAcentral
AACAAUGUUGUUUAUAAUGUACUGAAAAUUAACUCUAUUAAGCCGUAUAGUUUAACAGCGUGUUCGCAUUAAGAAUAGUUUUAUAUAUAUAAACACACACCAGUCUAAGAAAGAAGCAGAUUAUAAUCAUGGCUUCUUUAGCUGAUCAGGAGGAAGAGACAAAUAAUUCCUCAUAUGCAAUGGAACUUGCAAGUGCAAUAGUGCUACCUGCAGUAAUGCAAGCAGUGGUAGAGCUUGAUGUGUUUGAGAUCAUAAGCAAAGCCGGUCCUGGUGCUAAGCUUUCGGUUGCGGAGAUUGUGGCUCAAAUUCCCUUAAAAGAUAAUAAUCCUGAAGCUGCAGCCACGACGUUGGAUCGGGUGCUGAGGCUGCUUGUCAGCUACAACGCUCUCCAUUGCUCUUUUGUCGAUUGACAAAGGCUCUACUCUCUUGCUCCUGUUUCAGCAUACUUUGUUCGCAAUAAUCUCUAUUCUUUCGGAAAGAUAUGGGAUUAAUUCGACAAUUUCGGAAAUGCCUGGGAAUAAUGCAGCUUCAAGGGAAAUCUCUAUUUUGGAUACGGUUUUGUUAGUCCAACUUCCUCAUGGAAGAGAGCAGACCAAACAAGAGUACAUUGAAUUGGCAGUCAAAGCUGGAUUUAAAGGUGUCAACUAUGAUUAUGGUGCGUGCAAUUUAUAUGUUAUGGAAUUCUUCAAAUAAAUUGCAUACUUAAUUUCAUUUUGGAAAGAUCUUCUCAACCCUUGGGGAGUUUCCAACAAGUAUUUUUAUCUUACCUUACUAUUAUUAUUAUUUUUUUGUUCAUUUCAAAGUUGAAAAAAUCAGUAAUGUAUAACUUUUUUAUCAUUUAAAGUAAGAACAUUUGACUUUUGAAAGAGUAGUUAUAGAGAACUCAUUCUAUGCCAUCUCAACCUCACACAAGAGUAAUUAAAACUAGAGCUAAUGUUAAAGUAGUUCUAAAUUUUGAAUUCAUUACAAACUUAUCCUAAAAAUUUGCCUUAGUGGAGUUUAUGUGUGGUACUGGUGUUUAUUUCAUUUUUAUUUCUAAAAACAUAGUAAAUUAAGUGCACCACUAAGUGAACCAGAUGAAGACUGGAAAUUAUUAAAAAUGGAUUGUGGAGAUUUGGUUUUUCAUCAAACAACUACUAAGAGCUAAUAUUGCUCAAUGGAAGAAGAAAAAAGAAAAAAAAAUCUGAAUAUUAUGAUUAUCUUUGAAAGGUACAAAGUGAAUAGAGAAAAAAAAAAGAAAAAAUUUUGAGUUCCUUUAUUGGACGAGUAUUUUGAUUAGGAGAAAUUUUAUAAUGUUGUAAUUAAAAUGAUGGUAUUAAUGCCGUGAUAAAUAUGAAUUUUGUAAAUUACGCAUAAGACUAGUAAAUGAAAAGUAAAAUAAGUAAAUUAAUAUAAGAAUGGUAAAUUGGCGUCUUAAAACUACAAACUAAACAAAUACUUAUAAAAAUAACAUAAAACUUGUAAAUCAACAUUAAACUUUAAUUAAAAAAUAAUUUAUUCAUUUAAUUUACAUAAAUGAUGAAAAAAUCACUCAUCAAUUGAAAAAAUAUAUAUAUUUAAAACAAUUGUAAUAAGUUUUAUUGUAUUGUUUAACUAUAUGUUCUAUAUUCAUUCUUGGACAUUAAAAAAAUGAAUCUUUUAAAAAAAAUGAAUCUUUUUCUAUCUAUAGUAUUUGAUACUACACAUGUUAAUUAAGCAAAAAUUAUUUUUUUUGACGUGAAUCAAGCAAAAAAAAAAAGAUUUUCUUAUAUUACUAGAUGUACAUGAUAUAUCAAUAAAAUUGGAUCUAAUUUUUAGUGCUAUAUAUACUUCAUGUAAUUUUAAACUAUGUUUCUUAUUGUACUUAAAGAUCAUUUGGGUUUACGGUCAAGGAGGCUUAAAAGCAUACAACAUCACCUUAUUUUACAAGCAGUGAGGUUUGAAUGUCUAACUUUCAGGAUAGGUUUAUCAUUAAUAAAAUUUCACAUAUGUCAUCACAUAUAUUAUACAACCUCAUAAUGUGACAAUUAGCUUAUAUAUUUACUAAUUUUGAUUCUAAAUUGAGUUUAGAAUCAAAAUUAUGAGCUAAUAGUCACAUUAUGAGUUUUUAUUUUAUAUUUGUAAGUUUUUAUUUUUACAUUAAGGUACUUGUUUUACCUUCUAUUUACAAGUAUUACAUUCUAUUUACAUCAUUUAUAUUUUAUUUUAUGAUUAAUGUUGAUUUACCACUUCUAUGUUACAUGUAUAAGUUUUUAUUUUGUUUAUCAAUAAUAUAAUGAUUUAUCACUUUUAUGUUAAUUUAUUUGUUUUACCUUCUAUUUACAAGUUUUAUGUCCCAUUUACUUUUUUAUGUUUUAUUUACACUUUAAUGUUAAUUUACAAAUUUUAUAUUAUAUGUAUAAGUUUUUGUUUUAUUUACUAAUGAUACACCAAUUAACUACUCCUAUAUUAGUUUACUUAUUUUACCUUCUAUUUACAAAUCUUGUAUUCUAUUUAACACAAAUGUUGGCAUGAGAUUCCUGACAUAUUUCUAAAAUCAAAAUAAGAUGCAUAGAGGACAAUAAUUUUAUUUCAUAAUUAAAAUUUUUGUAAAGAAAGUUUGAAUAUGAGAGGGGUGAGAGAUGAGAAUAUUGACGAUGGUGUGUACUUUGGAUGGAAAAAUAGAUUGNNNNNNNNNNNNNNNNNNNNNNNNNNNNNNNNNNNNNNNNNNNNNNNNNNNNNNNNNNNNNNNNNNNNNNNNNNNNNNNNNNNNNNNNNNNNNNNNNNNNNNNNNNNNNNNNNNNNNNNNNNNNNNNNNNNNNNNNNNNNNNNNNNNNNNNNNNNNNNNNNNNNNNNNNNNNNNNNNNNNNNNNNNNNNNNNNNNNNNNNNNNNNNNNNNNNNNNNNNNNNNNNNNNNNNNNNNNNNNNNNNNNNNNNNNNNNNNNNNNNNNNNNNNNNNNNNNNNNNNNNNNNNNNNNNNNNNNNNNNNNNNNNNNNNNNNNNNNNNNNNNNNNNNNNNNNNNNNNNNNNNNNNNNNNNNNNNNNNNNNNNNNNNNNNNNNNNNNNNNNNNNNNNNNNNNNNNNNNNNNNNNNNNNNNNNNNNNNNNNNNNNNNNNNNNNNNNNNNNNNNNNNNNNNNNNNNNNNNNNNNNNNNNNNNNNNNNNNNNNNNNNNNNNNNNNNNNNNNNNNNNNNNNNNNNNNNNNNNNNNNNNNNNNNNNNNNNNNNNNNNNNNNNNNNNNNNNNNNNNNNNNNNNNNNNNNNNNNNNNNNNNNNNNNNNNNNNNNNNNNNNNNNNNNNNNNNNNNNNNNNNNNNNNNNNNNNNNNNNNNNNNNNNNNNNNNNNNNNNNNNNNNNNNNNNNNNNNNNNNNNNNNNNNNNNNNNNNNNNNNNNNNNAAAUAAAAGGACACUGGGUUGGUUAGCGGGACCCUAAUUUAAUGGUAAAAAAUAAAAGGACACUGGGUUGCUAUCAAUUUCUACGGUGUGGUACGUUCAUAGCCGGGGAAGUAAUUACAUUAGCGGGACCCUAACAUAAAUAAAAGGACACUGGGUUGGUUAGCGGGACCCUAAUAUUAAUGGUAAAAAAUAAAAGAAAACUGAGUUGCUAUCAAUUUCCACGGUGUAGGUUCAUAGCCGGGGAAGUAAUUAUAUUAGCGGGACCCUAAUAUUAAUGGAGACCUAAUAUUAAUGAUAAAAAAUAAAAGGACACUGGGUUACAAUCAAUUUCUACAGAGUGGGUUCAUAGCCGGAGAAGUAAUUGGGCAAUAAGUUUUAUUGUAUUGGUUUAACUAUAUAUUCUAUAUUCAUUCUUCGACAUAAAAAAAAAUGAAUCUUUUAAAAAAAAAUGAAUCUUUUUCUAUCUAUAGUAUUUGAUACUACACAUGUUAAUUAAGCAAAAAUUUUUUUUUUUUACGUGAAUCAAGCAAAAAAAAAAAAGAUUUUCUUAUAUUACUAGAUGUACAUGAUAUAUCAAUAAAAUUGGAUCUAAUUUUUAGUGCUAUAUAUACUUCAUGUAAUUUUAAACUAUGUUUCUUAUUGUACUUAAAGAUCAUUUGGGUUUACGGUCAAGGAGGCUUAAAAGGAUACAACAUCACCUUAUUUUACAAACAGUGAGGUUUGAAAGUCUAACUUUCAGGAUAUGUUUAUCAUUCUUAUAUUACUAGAUGUACAUGACAUAUCAAUAAAAUUGGAUCUAAUUUUUAGUGCUAUAUAUACUUCAUGUAAUUUUAAACUAUGUUUCUUAUUGUACUUAAAGAUCAUUUGGGUUUACGGUCAAGGAGGCUUAAAAGCAUACAACAUCACCUUAUUUUACAAGCAGUGAGGUUUGAAUGUCUAACUUUCAGGAUAGGUUUAUCAUUAAUAAAAUUUCACAUAUGUCAUCACAUAUAUUAUACAACCUCAUAAUGUGACAAUUAGCUUAUAUAUUUACUAAUUUUGAUUCUAAAUUGAGUUUAGAAUCAAAAUUAUGAGCUAAUAGUCACAUUAUGAGUUUUUAUUUUAUAUUUGUAAGUUUUUAUUUUUACAUUAAGGUACUUGUUUUACCUUCUAUUUACAAGUAUUACAUUCUAUUUACAUCAUUUAUAUUUUAUUUUAUGAUUAAUGUUGAUUUACCACUUCUAUGUUACAUGUAUAAGUUUUUAUUUUGUUUAUCAAUAAUAUAAUGAUUUAUCACUUUUAUGUUAAUUUAUUUGUUUUACCUUCUAUUUACAAGUUUUAUGUCCCAUUUACUUUUUUAUGUUUUAUUUACACUUUAAUGUUAAUUUACAAAUUUUAUAUUAUAUGUAUAAGUUUUUGUUUUAUUUACUAAUGAUACACCAAUUAACUACUCCUAUAUUAGUUUACUUAUUUUACCUUCUAUUUACAAAUCUUGUAUUCUAUUUAACACAAAUGUUGGCAUGAGAUUCCUGACAUAUUUCUAAAAUCAAAAUAAGAUGCAUAGAGGACAAUAAUUUUAUUUCAUAAUUAAAAUUUUUGUAAAGAAAGUUUGAAUAUGAGAGGGGUGAGAGAUGAGAAUAUUGACGAUGGUGUGUACUUUGGAUGGAAAAAUAGAUUGACGUUCAUAGCCGGGGAAGUAAUUACAUUAGCGGGACCCUAACAUAAAUAAAAGGACACUGGGUUGGUUAGCGGGACCCUAAUAUUAAUGGUAAAAAAUAAAAGGAAACUGAGUUGGUAUCAAUUUCUACGGUGUAGGUUCAUAGCCGGGGAAGUAAUUAUAUUAGCGGGACCCUAAUAUUAAUGGAGACCUAAUAUUAAUGAUAAAAAAUAAAAGGACACUGGGUUACAAUCAAUUUCUACAGAGUGGGUUCAUAGCCGGAGAAGUAAUUGGGCACAAAUAUCAUGGUGAACACGGAUGAGAAAUAACCAUUUUAUCCCCGCAACUUUAUGUUUAUGGCCUCUAAAAAUUUUCACCUCUUUCACUUCUGGAACCCGCGCUUUCUGGCACAUGCACAAUACUUGGUUGCGACUUAUAGAGAGUUUUAGAAUUGCAACGACAUGGUGCUCUUUGAUAAUUCAAAAAUCCAAUAGAAUUUAUAGAGAAUUACAGAAUUGUGGUACGUGAUAAUUUGCUGAUGCAGUGAGGGGCCGAAAUUCUUGUACAUGUGAUUAAGUUAUAGAUGUAUAAUUAAGUAAUUAGCAAGCACUAAUUGGGGGUAUUUGUGUCCAUGAAAAUUUACAGUUGGUUGUUGACAUUAUACUGUGGGUGCGUAAGUGCAAUCACGAUCUGACCAUUCAAAUUAAAAAAUGGGGGUCCCACUAAUUAUAAAGUUUGUAAUUAUCACAUAUACAGAUAUGGUCGCAUAUGAAAAUCUUAUCAUAAAUUGAAUGGAUUCGAUGACUUAAUUGAAGUUAUGAACGGAUAUUUAAAUAAAAGAAAAUUUAUAAUAAAGAAAAGUAUUAAUUUGUUGUGAAUGUAACUUAUAUAAGCUGUAAGUUAGCGGGACUCUUCAAAUAAUUCUAAUAUUUUGAUUUUUAAUUCUUAUAUUUAAAAAAAUAUCUUUUGUAGUUAAAUAUAUUUUUUUUUUAUCCUUACUUUUACUUUACUUUUAUAAUAAUAGCCUUCUAAUUUUUUUUAACAUUAAUUAAGUUAUUUAUAAAAUUUUAAUUAUAAAAUUUACUAAUAAUUAUUUAUUAAUAAAUUAACUAAUAAAUAUCAGUAUGAAAGAACUAAUAUUUUUUUAACCCAUGCAGGGAUCAAACCCGAGAGCUCUUUCCACUUACCCAACCUGCGUCGCCAACUGAACCACAACCGUUUGAUUAGGUCUUUGUUCUUUAGAGAAUAGAUCCUAUUGAAAUUUGAACACGAAUAUCGAUUACUCACAAAUAAAAUAAAUUUGCUGAGGCGGCUCGACUAAGACGUACGGGCAGCAUAAUUAAGUCCUCAUAACUCUCAAGUGCAGGCAUCAAAAAAUCAAAACUGAGAAUGACUGGUGAUAUAUAUAUAUAUAUAUAUAGACACCUCAAGCAAUUAAGAAAGAAGCAAAUUAUAAUCAUGGCUUCUAUAGCUGAUCAGGAAGAAGAGACAAAUAAUUUCUCACAUGCAAUGGGACUUGCAAGUGCAAUAGUGCUACCUGCAGUUAUGCAAGCAGUGGUAGAGCUUGAUGUGUUUGAGAUCAUAAGCAAAGCCGGUCCUGGUGCUAAGCUUUCGGUUGCGGAGAUUGUGGCUCAAAUUCCCUUAAAAGAUAAUAAUCCUGAAGCUGCAGCCACGACGUUGGAUCGGGUGCUGAGGCUGCUUGUCAGCUACAACGCUCUUCAUUGCUCUUUUGUCGAUGGACAAAGGCUCUACUCUCUUGCUCCUGUUUCAGCAUACUUUGUUCGCAAUAAUCUCUAUUCUUUCGGAAAGAUAUGGGAUUAAUUCGACAAUUUCGGAAAUGCCUGGGAAUAAUGCAGCUUCAAGGGAAAUCUCUAUUUUGGAUACGGUUUUGUUAGUCCAACUUCCUCAUGGAAGAGAGCGGUAUUUAUAAAAAAUUAAUUUACCAAAUUAAUCUUAAAACUAAAUUAAUAACAUAAAAAUUUAGCUGUAGUUAAAUAUAUUUUAUUUUUAUCCUUACUUUUACUUUACUUUACUUUUAUAAUAAUAGCCUUCUAAAAUUUUUUUAACAUUAAUUAAGUUAUUUAUAAAAUUUUAAUUAUAAAAUUAACUAAUAAAUAUCAGUACGAAAGAAUUAAUAUUUUUUUAACCCAUACAAUAAUCUUGCAAAUAAUUUUUUUAUAAAUAAAAAUUAAUAUCAACUAACUUAAAGUGGUGUUUAAUAUCCUUACAAUAAUUAUAUUAAUAUUUAUUUAUAAAAAAUUAAUUUACCAAAUUAAUCUUAAAACUAAAUUAAUAACAUAAAAAUUUAUAAAACUAAUUAUUUUACUUUUCAUCGGCUGCAAUUUGUUGAAACUUGGGUGAAGACAAAUUGAGAUCUUAGAAAUCUCCAAUGAGAUAAUAAAAUAUAAUAUAUAUGUUAGGUCUUUGUUCUUUAGAGAAUAGGAGUCAUCAUAUAGUACCGCGCUGUAUGUAAUACAGCUGCUUCAACAGUGAAAAAAAAACUUGAACAAUCGGUAUUUUACCGGUUGUUCAUCUAAUAAUUUUUAAAAAAUUUAUUUUUAAUGUGAAAAAAAUAAGGAAAUUUAUAAACAAUUAAUAUUAAAAAGAUUUGAGUAAGAAAAAUAUUUUUAAUUUAAAAAAAAGUUAAAAAAAGAGUAAAAUAAUCAUGUUCCAAUUUUUUUGGUUAAAUAUCAAUAUAUUAGGUGGACGUUUCAAAUUAAUUUCACAUGUCCCUAAUUUUCGUUAAACUUUCUCAAUAAUUGGUUUAUUUGUUUCCACUUCUCAAUCCACUAGUUUUAUGUAUAAUAUUCCUACUAAAUUCGUUAAAUACAAUUUUUUUAGGUUAAAUUCCAAGUAAAUUCAUUUCUCGUUAAAUAAGUUCCUAAAUUUGGUUACACUUUCUCCCUUUUUGGUUUAUAUGUUUCAACUAUUAUUUCACAACCUUAUGUUAUUAAAGAUGCCCCAUCUUAUUCAGGUACUUUAUUUAUAAAAUCUGUAUAACAUAUUUGUUAAUGAUUCAUCGAUGCUACACUAGCUAACAAAAGUUAGUUAGUUCACAUGUUUCAAAUUAUCAGUCCACUAGUUUUGUGUUAGGUAUUCCUACUAAGUUCGAUCAAUACCAAUUAAGGAAAAAUUAAAUAGAGAGAAUGACAUUUUUCUCCCUAUUGUUUUUGAGUUAACACGUACCCUAACCAUGUUACUCACUUGGUAUUAGAACUUUGAUAGAAAAAUUCAAAGGGAUAAUAAGAUAUUAUGAAAACUAUUAAAAGAAAAAAAAAGGUAAAACUCAAAACUAUAUAUACAAGGAAAGUGUCAACAACUCUCUUUUUUUCUUCAAUGGUAAAAUGGGUGGGCAUAGCCCAAAUUAACUAAUUAUUGAUCCCAUAUCUCCCUUGAGUUCAAACUUGGGUGACAAUUAAAUAAAAUUGAUUGAAAACAAUUCGAUCAGGCACCUCGGGUGGAAAGUAUCAAUCUCUCUUCUUUAUGAAUGCUUUGUUCAAUCACAUAAAUUGAUCAUAGAUAUCCGGAUAGAACAAAUGAGAAUUAAUAUGAAUACAUGGAACUUUUGCAGUGGAUGCUUCAUAGUUUUGAUGAUGAACAAGCCUUGAAAGUGUUGAAGAAUUGUUAUAAAGCUCUUCCAUAUGGUGGGAAGCUGCUUAAUAUUAAUUCGACAAUUUCGGAAAUGCCUGGGAAUAAUGUAGCUUCAAGGGAAAUCUCUAUUUUGGAUACGGUUUUGUUAGUCCAACUUCCUCAUGGAAGAGAGCGGACCAAACAAGAGUACACUGAAUUGGCAGUCAAAGCUGGAUUUAAAGGUGUCAACUAUGAUUAUGGUGCGUGCAAUUUAUAUGUUAUGGAAUUCUUCAAAUAAAUUGCAUACUUAAUUUCAUUUUGGAAAGAUCUUCUCAACCCUUGGGGAGUUUCCAAUUUCCUAUUUGUGUUAAUUAUUUUCUCUUUUGCUUGGCCUUGGGGCUUGUCUUAUGUACUUUCUUUCAUCUUAUGAAAAUAACUGCUGUACCGUACAUCCGCCUUGGCCGUACAGCAGCGAUUAUGAUUCUUUUACGUGCAGGCCCUAAAAUAGAUUCUAAUCAAUUAGCCCAAAUCCAAGCAUCAAGCCCAUUUGAUUUAUUUUGCGAUUGCCUUGCACAGUUGCACUUGCAGCUAUUGAAUUCUUCCUUUUCUUCUUCUUCUUCUUCUUCCAUUUCGAUUCUUUUGUGAGCAUUUUCUCUCCAAACUUUAAUUGAUUACCCUGUUCAACAAAAUAAAGUAAUUAUCUGAAAAAAAAAAGAGACUAGUUAGUACAUAAUUAGAGGGGGAAUAUAUCAAUUUAUUAUGCCCAUCAAAUACCUCCAAACCUAAAUUUUGCUUGUUCUUAAGCAAAACUAAGAAUGAAAAAUAAAGAAGCCGAAAUAAAUUCUAACUAAACCACUUUUGCAUGCAGUAACUAUUAUAUUUAGUAUAUGCAACAAGUAUUUAAACCCCUAAACAUCUCUAAUGGACAAGUUAUAGUCUCAUGAGGGUUUUCAGUGACGAUAUCCACGAACAUCAUCAAGAUUAAAUUAAAGAUAAUAAAUGAAUAUUAAAAAUAAUGACAUUUUUUUCUCUCUUUCAAGGCACUUGCAUUCAUCUCUUUGAUUAGAUUAAUAACAACAAUGAAAUAAAAAUAUAAACAUUGUCUCCUACCUAAAGAAAUAUCACUCCUAUUCACACGAUCAACUAAGUAAAUUCAUCUCGGACUUUAAUCUUGGACUUUCAUUCCAGAUACUAUAUAUAUAUACAUAUACAUACAUACAUACAUACAUACAUACAUAUAUAAUUUUCUGAUUCGGGAUCAUAAAGUGCGGGAAACGUUUGGGAAAACUUUAAAACCGCAGGAUUUUAAAAGUUUAAAACUUAAAGCGCUUAAACCGCACGGUUUAUACAUUUUCCCGGACAUUCUCGCACUUUAAAAUAUAUAUAUAUAUAUAUCUGCUCAGGAGAUUUCUUGAACUUGAAAUUAUUUAUACUUAACUUUUGAUCUUUAUAAAUGUUAUGCCCAUUUUAUAAUUCAAUUAAUUAUAUUUAUUUAUCUUUAAACUAAAAUAAAUCAAGAAUUAAGAUUUUUUUAAUUCAAAUUAAAUUUUUACCACUGUUUUCUUUUCAAAUUCUUUUUCUUAAUUUCUUAUUACUUCAACCAAAAAUUUAUGCUAUUAAUUAUAAAGAUUAAUAUAUUAUACUUGUAUUAUUAUCACUAUUAUUAUUUUUUUACUCUUACUAAAAUUAUUAUUAUUACUAUCUUGCCCCAUGAGAUUUGUUAACAAUUUUUUUUAAAUAAUGAGUAUCCUUCUUUUCGUUUUUAAGUAUGGAUAUAAUUUUUAAUUUAUAAAAUAAGUUCUUAAAUUUUCAAGACUUAACUAAAAUAAUUUUUAAGAGUUUAUUAUGACUAAUAUGGUUAUGAACAUUUAUUACUAUAGUAGCAACACUUUAUACCAUACCAUUUCAUAUUUAUUACUAUACCAAAAUUUGUUUAUUUAUUUUAUGAUUAUCCCAUGAACUGUGAAAAUUAACUUUUAUAUUAAAAUUGAAAAAUUUGUAAAUUUGUAUUACAUUGAUCCAAUUCUACUAAGCCACAAUUUAUUUAUCUUUAAUUAAUGCUUUAAACACAGUAAACGCAAUUCAAAUUCAACAAUAUUUUGUAAAAUAAAAAAAUAAAAAAAUCAAUGCAAUCAAGAAAGAAGAAAAUAUAUACAUAUACAUAUACAAACACACACACACACACACACACACACACAUAUAUAUAUGUAUGUAUGUAUGUUUAUAUAUGUAUAUAUUUUGUUGAUAUAAAAUUAAUUAUUUACAACUAUAUUAAUAAUUUAAUAUAGAUGAGAUAAACUACUAUGUAAAUAUAUUAAUAAUCAAAUUAUGGCUAUCAGUUAAUUUAGUUGUAAAUCAUUUGAGUUCAAAACAAAACAGUUGAGGUUUGAAUCUAUGGGCGCAAAUUUAGUUGUUAUUAAGCUAUAUUGAAAAAAAAUCAUAUUCAAAUUCAAUUCCUUUUACCACAAUUGUAAUAAGUUUUAUUGUAUUGGUUUAACUAUAUAUUCUAUAUUCAUUCUUGGAUUUAAAAAAAAAUGAAUCUUUUUCUAUCUAUAGUAUUUGAUACUACACAUGUUAAUUAAGCAAAAAUUAUUUUUUUUUGACGUGAAUCAAGCAAAAAAAAAAAAAGAUUUUCUUAUAUGACUAGAUGUACAUGAUAUAUCAAUAAAAUUGGAUCUAAUUUUUAGUGCUAUAUAUACUUCAUGUAAUUUUAAACUAUGUUUCUUAUUGUACUUAAAGAUCAUUUGGGUUUACGGUCAAGGAGGCUUAAAAGCAUACAACAUCACCUUAUUUUACAAGCAGUGAGGUUUGAAUGUCUAACUUUCAGGAUAGGUUUAUCAUUAAUAAAAUUUCACAUAUGUCAUCACAUAUAUUAUACAACCUCAUAAUGUGACAAUUAGCUUAUAUAUUUACUAAUUUUGAUUCUAAAUUGAGUUUAGAAUCAAAAUUAUGAGCUAAUAGUCACAUUAUGAGUUUUUAUUUUAUAUUUGUAAGUUUUUAUUUUUACAUUAAGGUACUUGUUUUACCUUCUAUUUACAAGUAUUACAUUCUAUUUACAUCAUUUAUAUUUUAUUUUAUGAUUAAUGUUGAUUUACCACUUCUAUGUUACAUGUAUAAGUUUUUAUUUUGUUUAUCAAUAAUAUAAUGAUUUAUGACUUUUAUGUUAAUUUAUUUGUUUUACCUUCUAUUUACAAGUUUUAUGUCCCAUUUACUUUUAUUUACACUUUAAUGUUAAUUUACAAAUUUUAUAUUAUAUGUAUAAGUUUUUGUUUUAUUUACUAAUGAUACACCAAUUAACUACUCCUAUAUUAAUUUACUUAUUUUACCUUCUAUUUACAAAUCUUGUAUUCUAUUUAACACAAAUGUUGGCAUGAGAUUCCUGACAUAUUUCUAAAAUCAAAAUAAGAUGCAUAGAGGAUGAUCAUUUUAUUUCAUAAUUAAAAUUUUUGUAAAGAAAGUUUGAAUAUGAGAGGGGUGAGAGAUGAGAAUAUUGACGAUAGUGCGUACUUUGGAUGGAAAAAUAGAUUGAAAAUAUAUAUAGACAUAUUAAAAGAAAAAAAUCUGAUCUAUACCUCAAGAGAAAUAAGAAAUUAUAAAUGCAGGUGGUCAAAUGUAUUUAUAAUUUAUAAUUUUUUAUAAAUAUGAUAAUCAUUAGACCCAUAUAAAAGUAUAGCAAAAUGUUUAAAUUUUUUUUAAUAAAUGUAGAAGAGAUGGACGAAGAAAACAGCCACCAGUUCAGAAUUAACAAUCAAAGAUAUGAGGACUUGAUCGAAGAAAUGUGAAAAAUAAAAGGACACUGGGUUGGUUAGCGGGACCCUAAUUUAAUGGUAAAAAAUAAAAGGACACUGGGUUGCUAUCAAUUUCUACGGUGUGGUACGUUCAUAGCCGGGGAAGUAAUUACAUUAGCGGGACCCUAACAUAAAUAAAAGGACACUGGGUUGGUUAGCGGGACCCUAAUNNNNNNNNNNNNNNNNNNNNNNNNNNNNNNNNNNNNNNNNNNNNNNNNNNNNNNNNNNNNNNNNNNNNNNNNNNNNNNNNNNNNNNNNNNNNNNNNNNNNNNNNNNNNNNNNNNNNNNNNNNNNNNNNNNNNNNNNNNNNNNNNNNNNNNNNNNNNNNNNNNNNNNNNNNNNNNNNNNNNNNNNNNNNNNNNNNNNNNNNNNNNNNNNNNNNNNNNNNNNNNNNNNNNNNNNNNNNNNNNNNNNNNNNNNNNNNNNNNNNNNNNNNNNNNNNNNNNNNNNNNNNNNNNNNNNNNNNNNNNNNNNNNNNNNNNNNNNNNNNNNNNNNNNNNNNNNNNNNNNNNNNNNNNNNNNNNNNNNNNNNNNNNNNNNNNNNNNNNNNNNNNNNNNNNNNNNNNNNNNNNNNNNNNNNNNNNNNNNNNNNNNNNNNNNNNNNNNNNNNNNNNNNNNNNNNNNNNNNNNNNNNNNNNNNNNNNNNNNNNNNNNNNNNNNNNNNNNNNNNNNNNNNNNNNNNNNNNNNNNNNNNNNNNNNNNNNNNNNNNNNNNNNNNNNNNNNNNNNNNNNNNNNNNNNNNNNNNNNNNNNNNNNNNNNNNNNNNNNNNNNNNNNNNNNNNNNNNNNNNNNNNNNNNNNNNNNNNNNNNNNNNNNAUACUUGGUUGCGACUUAUAGAGAGUUUUAGAAUUGCAACGACAUGGUGCUCUUUGAUAAUUCAAAAAUCCAAUAGAAUUUAUAGAGAAUUACAGAAUUGUGGUACGUGAUAAUUUGCUGAUGCAGUGAGGGGCCGAAAUUCUUGUACAUGUGAUUAAGUUAGAGAUGUAUAAUUAAGUAAUUAGCAAGCACUAAUGGGGGGUAUUUGUGUCCAUGAAAAUUUACGGUUGGUUGUUGACAUUAUACUGUGGGUGCGUAAGUGUAAUCACGAUCUGACCAUUCAAAUUAAAAAAUGGGGGUCCCACUAACUAUAAAGUUAAUAAUUAUCACAUAAACAGGGGGAAUUUUAGGUGCAACUGUGACACCGUGCCACAGUUGCACCUAGUCAUUGGAUGUCAGUAGACUCUAUUACUCCAACUGCAUCCAACGGUUAGAUGCAAUUGUGGCACGGUGCCACAGUUACACCGUAGCCUGAUCCCAUAUACAGAUAUGGUCGCAUAUGAAAAUCUUAUCAUAAAUUGAAAGGAUUCGAUGACUUAAUUGAAGUUAUGAACGGAUAUUUAAAUAAAAGAAAAUUUAUAAUAAAGAACAAGUAUUAAUUUGUUAUGAAUGUAACUUAUAUAAGCUGUAAGUUAGCGGGACUCUUCAAGUAAUUCUAAUAUUUUGAUUUUUAAUUUUUAUAUUUUAAAAAAUAUCUUCUGUAGUUAAAUAUAUUUUAUUUUUAUCCUUACUUUUACUUUACUUUUACAAUAAUAGCCUUCUAAAAAUUUUUUAACAUUAAUUAAGUUAUUUAUAAAAUUUUAAUUAUAAAAUUAACUAAUAAUUAUUUAUUAAUAAAUUAACUAAUAAAUAUCAGUACGAAAGAACUAAUAUUUUUUUAACCCAUGCAAUAAUCUUGCAAAUAAUUUUUUUAUAAAUAAAAAUUAAUAUCAACUAACUUAAAGUGGUUUUUAAUAUCCUUACAAUAAUUAUAUUAAUAUUUAUUUAUAAAAAAUUAAUUUGCCAAAUUAAUCUUAAAACUAAAUUAAUAACAUAAAAAUUUAUAAAACUAAUUAUUUUACUUUUCAUCGGCUGCAAUUUGUUGAAACUUGGGUGAAGACAAAUUGAGAUCUUAGAAAUCUCCAAUGAGAUAAUAAAAUAUAAUACAUAUGUUAGGUCUUUGUUCUUUAGGGAAUAGAUCCUAUUGAAAUUUGAACACGAAUAUCGAUUACUCACAAAUAAAACAAAUUUGCUGAGGCGGCUCGACUAAGACGUACGGGCAGCAUAAUUAAGUCCUCAUAACUCUCAAGUGCAGGCAUCAAAAAAUCAAAACUGAGAAUGACUGGUGAUAUAUAUAUAUAUAUAUAUAUAUAUAUAUAGACACCUCAAGCAAUUAAGAAAGAAGCAAAUUAUAAUCAUGGCUUCUAUAGCUGAUCAGGAAGAAGAGACAAAUAAUUUCUCACAUGCAAUGGGACUUGCAAGUGCAAUAGUGCUACCUGCAGUUAUGCAAGCAGUGGUAGAGCUUGAUGUGUUUGAGAUCAUAAGCAAAGCCGGUCCUGGUGCUAAGCUUUCGGUUGCGGAGAUUGUGGCUCAAAUUCCCUUAAAAGAUAAUAAUCCUGAAGCUGCAGCCACGACGUUGGAUCGGGUGCUGAGGCUGCUUGUCAGCUACAACGCUCUUCAUUGCUCUUUUGUCGAUGGACAAAGGCUCUACUCUCUUGCUCCUGUUUCUAAACACUUUGUUCGCAACAAUCGAGACGGCGUGUCGUUGCGUCCCUACAUGGCCUUGUGUCUCGACAAGAUCUGCUUGGAUGGCUGGUACAUAGAACUGCUUCUUUUCUUUACCGUUUCAGUAAAUCGAUCAUUUUCAUUCUCAUGAUUUAAAAUCGAUUAAACUCUGUUAAAAAGAUAUUUAAUUUUCAUUUAAUUUACCAUUAAUGUUAUAAAUGACACAAAAAGUAGAAAGUUAAUGAUUUCUUUUUUUUUUUAAUGACGGAGGAUUCUCAAAUAUGAAAACAAAAAUGAUUGAUUUUAACGAACAACAACGUUUUUUUUUUUUUUUUUUAUCGUUUCUCGACAAAAAUUAGUUUUUCGAAUUUCAAGGUUAAUUGUGUGGUCUAAUUCUUGAAUCACCAGCACCAAACCAAGCUUCUGAAAUAGUUGCUAACUGUGUUUGGAUUUUGGAAAAUUCAGGUUUGGAUUGAAAAAGCAGAUUCUUGAAGGAGGAAUUGCGUUUAAUAAAGCGCACGGAAUGCAAAUCUAUGAUUACUUAGGCGUCGACUCAAGGUUCAAUGAUGUUUUCAACAAUGGAAUGUUAAGCCACACACUACCCUGAACAUGAUAAUUUCCAAAUACCCUCAUAUUAAGGGUAUUAAUUAUGAUCUGCCUUAUGUCAUUAAAGAUGCCCCAUCUUAUCCUGGUAUGUUAUUUACAAAAUUUAUAUAGUAUGUUGGGUAAUGAUUUAUUGAUGCUACCCUAACUAAAAGAUGUGAAUUUAUUUAAAUUUCAGGCAUCGAACACGUGGGUGGAGAUUUAUUCGAAAAUGUUCCUGAGGCGGAUACCAUUUUCAUGAAGGUUUUUUCUCUCUAUCUAUAUAUAUAACUUUGAAAUGAUAAUUAUCAAGAGAAUGACAAUUUUCUCCUUACUGCUUUUGAGUUUUACAAUUUACUCAUUUGACGUCAAUUUUUUCAUUGAAAAACUCAAAAGGAUAACAAGAUAUUAUGAAAAUCGAAAAAAAAACAAUAAAACUCAAAAAUAGUAUACCGGAAAAAGUGUAAAUCUAUCUUGUCUAUGAAUUGAUAAUUGAUAUUCAAUUACAACUAAUUAAUGAGAAUUGAUAUGUAUAUGAAUUUUUUUUUGCAGUGGAUGCUUCACAAUUUUGAUGAUGAGCAAACUUUGAAAUUGUUGAAGAAUUGUUACAAAGCUCUUCCAGAUGGUGGGAAGCUGCUCAAUAUUAAUUCAACAAUUUCAGAAGUGCCUCAAAAUAGUGCGGCUUCAAGGGAAAUCUCUAUUUUGGAUACAAUUUUGUUGAUCCAAAUUCCUCAUGGAAGAGAGCGCACCAAACAAGAAUACAAUGAAUUGGCAAUUAAAGCUGGAUUUAAAGGUGUCAGCUACGAAUGUGGUGUAUGUAAUUUAUAUGUUAUGGAGUUCUUGAAAUAGAUUGCUUUUUUCUCUAUUCGGAAAGAUCUCCUUAGCUUUCUUGGGUUGUUUUCAAUUUCCGGUUUGUCUUGUUAUCUCUUUCCUUUGGAUUGAGGGCUUCUCUUAUGUAAUCUCUUUCGUUUUAUCAAUAAUAAAUCUCUUAUAGGGAGAUUGAUUCCCGUAUAAGGCAGCUCUUGCGUCAUCUCUUUCAUGAAUCAUGUUAUCAAUAAUACACCUUAUUGAAGAUGCCAAAAAUUCGAAUGUAGCAUUUUUUUUUUCCUGAAAAUUUGAAAAUAUUUGAAUUUAAUUAAUUUGAAACUCUGGUUAAAUCUAAAUAUAUAAACCUAAAUGAUAUUUCAUUUUUCUUUGUUAAAGUCUAAUCAUACUUAUUUUUAUUGGUAAAAACAUCCUAAAAACUAGUUUUUGACAUAUAUGUCUUUAAAUUAUUAUACACUUUUGUGUUUGUUGUAUUUACAUGUACGAAUAUUUAUAAUUAGAUAUUUGACAGGUACAAACAAAAAAUUAUAUUAAUAUGCUGUGUUAACUUUCAAAAGCCCAUAGUCCUUUUUGGACCAUAAAUAGAUAGAUCCACCCUUGUGUACAGGGCUGAUUUUUCCACAGAGCAGGCGUUUUGACACUAUUCUAAAUUCUUUAUAAAAUCUCUCUUUAAUUAAAUUACCUAAAUAACUAAGAAUAAAUUAAUUUCCUUUUUGUUUUGAAUGAAAAAUUAAUUAAACACUGAAAUAAACUAUUCUUUUAAUUUUUUACGCCCACCCAAUUUCAUAAUUUAUGCUUAUAUUUUAAAAUGCAAUUGAACAUAAUUUUUCUUAAGAAACUUUUAACAAUUAUGAAGAUAGAAAUCAUAUAACAAGAAAAAAAUAUUGUAAGAUUUUAAUAUUUGUAUGCAUUUAUAAUUAAAACAUAAAAGAAAUACUAUUUUUGGGUCAAAUUUAAUGACAAGAUGAUUGAUUUUAAUUUAUCAGUAUUUUAUAGUUAAAUUGGGGUAUCUUAAGCAAUAGGGUACAAAAGGGGUGCUGUAAGAGCUUUUUGCUUUAAGGAUUUUUUUAAAGUAUCUUAAAAGCUCCACUCUUUUUGAUAUAUCUAGAUUAGUGGUGAAUACUCUCUAGAUUAGUGGUGAAUACUUUAUAACAUGGUUUUUUUUUUUUUACUUUUAUAAUAAUACUUGACAUUUAAUAUUUAAAUCCUAAUUUGAAUCUUAACUAUAUGUCACUUAUCUAUUAAAUAAUGAAUAUAAUAUUACUUAUUACUCUAAUCGAUCAUCUAAUAAAUUAAUGUCACAUUUAAUGAGACUUAAAAUUUAGGAUCUAUAGCAUAAGUCACUAGAGUAGGAAAAAAAUUUGAGUUCCUUUACUAGACGAGUAUUUUGAUUAGGAAAAACUCUAUAAUGUUGUAAUUAAAAUGACGGUAUCAAUACCGUGAUAAAUACGAAUUUUUUAAAUCACGCAUAAGGCUAGUAAAUGAAAAGUAAAAUAAAUAAAUCAAUAUAAAGUGGUAAAUUGGCAUCUUAAAACUGCAAACUAAACAAAUACUUAUAAAAAUAACAUAAAACUUGUAAAUCAACAUUAAACUUUAAUUAAAAAAUAGUUUAUUCUCAUUCAAAAAAUAGUUUAUUCAUUUAAUUUAAAUAAAUGAUGAAAAAAUCACUCAUCAAUUGAAAAAAAAAAUUAAAAACAAUUGUAAUAAGUUUUAUUGAAUUGGUUUAACUAUAUAUUCUAUAUUCAUCCUAGGACAUUUACCACAAAAAAAAAAAAUUCUUUCUAUAGAUUUUGUUAGCCUAUAUGGCUAUAGAUAUUGAUUUUGAUGAUAACAAACCACAUAUAUUGAUUAAACAAAGAUUUAUGAAUUGUGCUUUUAUAAUAAGAAAAUGAUGUUAUGGAAUUAAAGUGUUUUGGACUAAAAUGAAAGUAUUUUAAAACCUUUGAUAUUGUUUUAAAAUUUCAGAUUUGGACAUAUUUGAAACUAUUUAAAUAUUUUGGGUCAUUUUAUAAUUUCACAUAGUUUGGGUGAAAUCAUAAUUUCAGAAAGUUUUGAGAUUGACAAAGUAUUAUUUAGAAACUCUGAAAUUGGACCUAUUUGAAAGCUUUCAUAACGUUUUGGGCCAUAAUAUAGUUUUAUAAAGUUUUGGGGUCAAACUAUAAAUUUAGAAAAUAUUUCACGGUAGCAGUUACUGUAGCAAGCGUCUAACCGGAUAUGGUAAACGGCAAUCCGAAUUUUAGGCAGUAAGCUUCUGGAGCAUAAACGACUAUCCGGAUUUCAAAAGCGGCUAUCCGGAUUUCAAAAGCGGCUAACUGGAUAUGAAAAGCGGCAUGCCGGAUAUUCUGAAAUUCAAAUUUUUGCUUUAACGGUAACAUGAAAGCGGCUAACCGGAUUCCAUAAACGGUAAGCCGGUUAUGACCAAAAAGUGCAUAACGACUAGUUUUUGAGCUCAAACUAUAUAAACUCAAAACCAAUUCAUUUUUGGUAAUCUUGGCAAGCAAAAAAAAGUGCACACAACAUAUAUUGAGUUUCAAUUUCGUAAAUCAUCAUUUAUUAAAUCAUCUUUGUUCUUCAAUUUGUAUAUCCACUCUUAAAAGAGAGUUUCAUUGUUGUAAUUUUCAUUUCUCAUCAAAUUGUGAGUGUACAAGUGUGAGAAACACUUGGGGUGAAGAGAUUGGAGAGAUAAUCUCUUGUUGUAAAGGUUCAUUGACACCUUGAAGUCAAUUGUAAAUGUUUGAAGCCUUGGAAAGGCUCGGAUAGUGAAAUCCUCAAGUCCGGUGUGCUUGGAGGCGUGGACGUAGGCGGGAAUUGCCGAACCACAUAAAAAUCCUUGAGUUUGCUUUCUCUUCCCUUGCUAAUUUUUUAUUGUGCUUUCAUUGAAUUUAUUAUUUUCGAAUUUAUUAAGGCAUUAGAUUGGAUUGUUGUGUGGUUUGCUUAGCUUAAUUUUUAAAAUCUCAAUUCACCCCCCCUCUUGGGUUGCCUAGUUAGUAUUUCAUUUGGUAUCAGAGCGAGGUGCUCUUGUGUAGACUUAACCAUCUAGAGUUAAAGAUCAAUGGCAACCCAAUAUGACUCAACAUUUAGGGAAUGACAGUCCACAAUUAGACCACCGUUCUUUGACAGAAAUGACUACUCGUAUUGGAAAACUAGGAUGAGAAUUUAUUUACAAGCACUAGAUUAUGAAAUUUGGGAAGUUGUUUGUGAUGGUCCUUUUAUGCCUUGGAUUAAAAAUGAAGUCGGGGAAGAUAUUUCAAAACCUUCACGGGAAUGGAAUGAAUUGGAAAAGAGAAAAGCUACUCUAAAUUCCAAAGUUAUGAAUGCCUUGUUUUGUGCACUAGAUAAGAAAGAAUUUCAUAGAGUAUCUAGUUGUGAGAGUGCUAAUGAAAUUUGGCACAAACUUGAAGUUGUUUAUGAAGGCACGAAUCAAGUGAAAGAGUCUAAAAUUUGUAGGUACACUCGGCAAUAUGAAUUGUUCCAAAUGGAACAAAAUGAGAGUGUGUAUUCUAUGUAUACUAGAUUUACGGACAUAGUGAACACUCUAGGAGCCCUAGGAAAGACUUUUUCAAAUAGCGAGAAAGUUAAGAAAAUUAUUAGGUCGCUACCUAAGGAAUGGAGACAAAAAAGGACUGUAAUUGAGGAAGUCAAAGAUUUAAAUAUCUUACCUAUUGAUGAUUUAGUUGGUUCUCUUAUUUCUUAUGAGGAAGACUUGGCAGCCGAAAAAGGCAAUGGGGAGAAGAAUAAAAGCAUUGCUCUCAAAGCCUCAAAAUAUAAGAGUGAUGAGGAAAGCGAGCUGGAUGAGGAGGAGAUGGAUAUGCUGGCUAGGAAGUUCAUAAAUUUUUUAAGAAAUCCAGUGAGCGAAGAAAAUUUAGAGACCUCAAGAACCGAAAGGAGAAGAAGGAAGUAAUCAAAUGUUAUGAGUGCAAGAAGCUUGGCCAUAUAAGAACGGAAUGCCCUCUUCUCAACAAGCUCAAAAAGAAAGCAAUGGUAGCCACAUGGGAUGAUAGCGAGGAGGAAACAAGUGAUGAUGAAGAGCAUCAAGAAAUGACAAAUCGAUCUCUUAUGGCAAUUGGAGAUGAAUCGGAUGAUGAACUUGAUGAGGUAAAUGAUCUUCCUACUUAUGAUGAAUUACAUGAUACUUUUAAAGAAUUGCAUGAUGAGUGGAUGAAAAUUGAUAAAAAGAAUGCAUGUCUUAAAAAGAAAAUGGUAGAGCUAAAAAAUGAAAAUGAAUCUCUAUGUGCAAUAGAAUAUCACAUAGAUGACUUGAAAAAAGAAAAUGAAAUGCUUAAGAAGAAGAGCAAUGAGUUAAAUGAGAUUGUUUUAAAAUUUACAAAUGGACAAAAGAUGUUGGAUAACUUGAUUAAUUCACAAAAAUGUGUGUUUGAUAAAGGAGGACUUGUUUAUAAGUCAAAUUUGAAACAAAAGUAUUAUAAGAACUACUUUGUGAAGAGUACAUCUAUUAACAAUCAAGUUGUAUGUCAUUAUUGUAAUCAAAACGGUCACAUAAAGUUUGGUUGUCCUAUCAAAAGAAAAGUAUAUUAUGGAGUAAAAUGUGUUUGGGUUCCAAAAGGAACCAUUGCUAACACUCAAGGACCCAAUAAUAUUUGGGUACCAAAGGACACAACGUGAAUGUUUUCUUUGUAGGUACCACAAUCAAGGAAUUGGGGAGAAAUUCCUUGAUGAAAGCUUGUGAGGAUAAUCACUUGAGUAUGAUCUAAGAGAAAAAGAUGAGGCAUGAUGAUUUAAUUGUUUUGGUAACAAUUCUUGCCAUAUUAAUUUUGUUGAAUGAAUCAUGAUAAAUGAAUUUGCGAAAGUAUGCUUGUAUGUUUACAUGAUGGAAUUAUCAUUGUGUAUAACAUUGAGUGAUUUAUCAUGAUGUCUUUAUUUGAUUUUGAUGAUUGUAUGGUCUUUGAUUUCAUCUUCUUAAUUGUCUAUCAUCAUUGUCCAUCUCUUAUAUAUGUGUGAACUCAUAUGCCAUUAAUUGUGUUAUAUCAUCAUUCAUUUAUAAAAUUGACAUCAUUGUUUGAUACGAUUUCAUAUGUUUGGUCUUGUAUACAUUUAUGUCUCAUGCAUGAAAUGGCUUAUUGAAAAAUUUUGAAUCUCAAAAUGAUUCAAAAAUUGAUCAAUUUUUAAGCUGAAAAUAAAUUGGUGUGUGUAAUACAAGUCUAAGAAUUUACUAAACUUAAAAAAUAUUCUCCAUAUUUUAACCGAUAAACCUCUUCUAAUCAAUCGAAAAACCAUUCUUCUUAUUGAUUAUUCUCUAAGUCAUAUUCCAGAUAACCGGAUUGGAAAACCAGUAAACCAUUUAAAGAGAAUUUGGUUUCUGGAAAGAACCGGUCAGCCGGUUAUGAAAUCCGGAAAACCGGAUCUAGUUUGAUGCUUGCUGGACACAACCGGAUAGCCGGUUAUGAGAUCCGACAAACCGGAUUUGCGUUGUUUACUUGCUGCCUCCAACCGGAUAACCGGAUUCGUGACCAUUCAUCACUGGACUUAACCGGAUUACCGGUUAUGUAAACCGGAAACCUGAAUUCACGUUGCACACUCACUGGACCACAACCGGCUAACCGGUUAGUGAAAUCCGGUAAGCCGGAUUCGGGCAUUCAUAUUUUGUUCAUCCUCUUCUCCUUCAUUCAAUCAAUUGGUUACUCUCUCACUAAAAACCACUUCCUCUCUCACGCAAUAUCUCUCUAAAAUCCAUCAAUCUCAUCCUUUUUCACUUCAAAUCCUUUAUACUUGUAUUUGAACACACCAACAUUUACUAUUUUAUUUUUCUUUUAUUUUGCAUUUGGAUUAUAUGGAUGUUUGCUAUGAUUUUGGAUUAUAUGUCUGUUUUGAAUAUGGAUUUGAUAUAGUUAUAUGUUAUGUUCUUUACUUAUGUUUUGGAUAAUUUUGAACUAAUGUGCUUGAUUUGAGGUUUUGAUGAUUGAUAGAGGGAGACAAAUAUGAUAUGUUUUUUGAUAAAAUCAUUUGGUUAAAAUUUUAAAUUGGUCAUAUAUUUAAGGGGAGCAUAUAAUAUGAUUUUGAAUAAUAUGCAUUUUGAACUUUUUUAUUGUCCAAAGGGGGACUGCUGUACGGCCAUGAAUAAUAUGCAUUUUGAACUUUUUUAUUGUCCAAAGGGGGAGACAAAGUAAUAUAUCAUUUCGAUGUUGUUAAAAAGAGGAGAAUAAUAUACACUUUAAGUAUUCUUUUAAUGAUUGAUAUUUGAUUAUGAUGAUGAUUUUGAGAUAAUGAUGAUUUGAUUACAUAGUUGUUUUAUAUGAUAAUUUUAUGUUAUGAGUUGUUGAUUUGGUAAUUAAUGGAAUAAUGGUUCAUGAUAUUUUGGUGUGAUGAUUUGUGUAUGGAGUUGGCUUGUAUCAUGAUUUAUAAUAAUUUGUGAGUAAUAUUACUAAACUUAUAUUUGAGGUAAUGCUUGUUGUUAGGGGGAGAAUGUGUUGAAAUUUCUACUCGGACAAACAUGAGUAAUAAAUUUGUUACUCUUAUUCUUUUCCUUUAAGCUUUCUUUUUUAUGAUGAAGGAGGAGAAUAAUAUAAAAAGUGUUAUAAAAAUAUGCAUGUAUCCAGGGGGAGUAUGCAUGUAUGCAGGGGGAGUCUUUUUAAAUAAUUUUUAAAUCAAAUUUUUAACCUUGCAUUGAUUAAGGGGGAGCUUUUCAUAACUAGAUUAAAUUUUUAUAAUGUGCUUUGUCAUCAUAAAAAAUGAGGAGAUUGUUAGCCUAUAUGGCUAUAGAUACUGAUUUUGAUGAUAACAAAUCACAUGUGUUGAUUAAACAAAGAUUUAUGAAUUGUGCUUUUAUAAUAAGAAAAAUGAUGUUAUGGAAUUAAAGUGUUUUGUACUAAAAUGAAAGUAUUUUAAAACCUUUGAUAUUGUUUUAAAAUUUUGGAUUUGGACCUAUUUGAAACUAUUUAAAUAUUUUAGGUCAUUCUAUAAUUUCACAUACUGCUGUACCGUACAUCCGCCUUGGCCGUACAGCAGAUAAUCUUGCAAAUAAUUUUUUUAUAAAAGAGUUUCAUUGUUGUAGUUUUCAUUUCUCAUCAAAUUGUGAGUGUACAAGUGUGAGAAACACUUGGGGUGAAGAGAUUGGAGAGAUUAUCUCUUGUUGUAAAGGUUCAUUGACACCUUGAAGUCAAUUGUAAACGUUUGAAGCCUUGGAAAGGCUCGGAUAGUGAAAUCCUCAAGCCCGGUGUGCUUGGAGGCGUCGACGUAAGCGAGAAUUGCCGAACCACGUACAAAUCCUUGAGUUUGCUUUCUCUUCCCUUGCUCAUUUAUUAUUGUACUUUCAUUGAAUUUAUUGUUUUUAAAUUUAUUAAGACAUUAGAUUGAAUUGUUGUGUGAUUUGCUUAGCUUAAUUUUUAAAAUCUCAAUUCACCCCCUCUUGGGUUGCCUAGUUAGUAUGUCAGAUUUGAUACUACACAUGUUAAUUAAGCAAUUUUUUUUUUGACGUGAAUCAAGUAAAAACAAAAUAGAAAGAUAUUCUUAUAUUACUAGAUGUACAUGAUAUAUCAAUAAAAUUGGAUCUAAUUUUAGUUUUAUAUAUACUUCAUGUAAUUUUAAACUAUGCUUCUUAUUGUACUUAAAUAUCAUUUAGGAUUACUGUCAAGGAGGCUUAAAAGAAUACAAAAUCACCUUAUUUUACAAACAGUGGGGUUUGAAAGUCUAACUUUGAGGAUAGGUUUAUUAUUAAUAAAAUUUCAUACAUAUCAUCACAUAUAUUACACAAACUCAAAACUAUAAUUAUUUAAUUUAGAAUCAAAAUUAGUAAAUAUAUAAGCUAAUCGUCACAUUAUGAGUUUUUAUUUUAUAUUUGUAAGUUUUUUUUUAAAUAACUCUUACAUUAAGUUACUUGUUUUACAUUCUAUUUACAAGUAUUAUAUUCUAUUUAUAUCAUUUAUAUUUUAUUUUAUGCUUAAUGUUGAUUUACCACAUCUAUGUUACAUGUAUAAAUUUUUAUUUUGUUUAUCAAUAAUAUACUGAUUUACCAUUUUUAUGUUAAUUUAUUUGUUUUACCUUCCAUUUACAAGUUUUAUGUCUCAUUUACUUUUUUUAUGUUGUAUUUACACUUUAAUGUUAAUUUACAAGUUUUAUAUUAUAUGUAUAAGUUUUUGUUUUAUUUACUAAUGAUACACCAGUUUACUACUCCUAUAUUAGUUUACUUAUUUUACCUUCUAUUUACAAAUCUUGUAUUCUAUUAAUAUAAUUUACAUUUUAUUUUACACUUAAUGUUGAUUUAUAAGUUUUAUGAUACAUCUAUAAGUUUUUAUUUUGUUUACUAAUAAAACAUUAAUUUACCACUCCUAUGUUGAUUUACUUGUUUUAUCUUCCGUUUACAUGCUUAAUGCUUCACUUAUAUAAUUUAUGUUUUAUUUUAUACUUUAUGUUAAUUAACAAGUUUUAUAUUACAUUGUAAGUUUUUAUUUUAUUUACUAUUGAUACAUCAAUUUAUUACUCUUAUAUUAAUUUACAUGUUUUACCUUUCGUUUAGAAGUUCUAUAUUCCAUUUACAUAAUUUAUAUUUUCAUUUACACUUUAUGUUGAUUUACAAGCAUUAUGCUAUAUUUGUAAGUUGUUGUUUUGAUUAACUAAUUUACAAAUCAUAUUUUAGUUUUAUUGUUUUAUCUUACAUUAAGUCAUUAACAAGUCUUAUGUUUUAUUUAUAUAAUUUAUGUUUGGAUAAAUAUUCAAUUAAUCCCAAUAUUUUGACUUUAAUGCCCAUUUAGUUCCUAUAUUUUAAAAAGUACCUCAAAACACCCAUGUAGUUAAAUAAAUUUUAUUUUUACCCUUGCUUUUGCUUUACUUUUACAAUAAUAGCCUUCCAAAAAAAAUUUAACAUUAAUUAGGUUAUUUAUAAAAAUGUAAUUAUAAAAAUUAACUAAUAAUUAUUUAUUAACAAAUUAAUCAAUAAAUAUCAGUAUGACAGAACUAAUAUUUUUCUUAAACCCAUGCAGUAAUCUUGCAAAUAGUUUAUUUAUAAAUAAAAAUUAAUAUCAACUAACUUAAAGUGAUGUUUAAUAGCCUUACAACAAUUAUAUUAAUAUUUAUUUUAUAAAAAAAUAGUUUAGCAAAUUAAUCUUAAAAGUAAAUUAAUAACAUAAAAUUUUUUAAAAAUAAUUAUUUUAUUUUUCACCAGCUGCAGUUUGUUGAAACUUGGUGAAGACAAAUUGAGAGCUUAGAAAUCUCCAAUGAGAUAAUAAAAUAUAUAUGUUAGGUCUUCGUUCUUUAAAGAGUAGAUCCUAUUGAAAUUUGAAAAGGAAUAUCGAUUACUCACAAAUAAAACAAAUUUGCUGAGGCGGCUCGACUAAGACGUACGGGCAGCAUAACUAAGUCCUCAUAACUCUCAAGUACAGGCAUCAAAAAAUCAAAACUGAGCAUGAUGUGUGAUAUAUAUAAAUAUAUAUAUAUUCCUCUCAAGGACUAUAUAUAGAUUUAUAUAGUCCUCUUAACUCUCAAGGACAGGCAUGAAAAUAUCAAAACUGAGGAUGAUGGGUGAUAUAUAUAAAUAUAUAUAUAUUCCCUGCCUUGUAAGACAAGGUCCUCAAGCAAUUAAGCAAGAAGCAAAUUAAAAUCAUGGCUUCUAUAGCUGAUCGGGAAGAAGAGGCAAAUAAUUUCUCAUAUGCAAUGGAACUGGCAAGUGCAAUAGUGCUACCUGCAGUUAUGCAAGCAGUGGUAGAGCUUGAUGUGUUUGAGAUCAUAAGCAAAGCCGGUCCUGGUGCUAAGCUUUCGGUUUCGGAAAUUGUGGCUCAAAUUCCCUUAAAAGAUAAUAAUCCUGAAGCUGCAGCCAUGACGUUGGAUCGGGUGCUGAGGCUGCUUGUCAGCUACAAUGCUCUUCAUUGCUCUUUUGUUGAUGGACAAAGGCUCUACUCUCUUGCUCCUGUUUCAGCAUACUUUGUUCGCAAUAAUCAAAACGGCGCGUCGUUGCGUCCCUACAUGGCCUUGUCUCUCGACAAGGUCCUCAUGGAUGGCUGGUAUACAGAAUUACUUUUUCUCUUUUCUUUUCUUUGCUAAUUUUGGUAAAUUAAGGAAAAUUAUCAAAACCUUCUAGUUGUCUAUAUACAUUAUUAAAUAUACAAGAUGAUAGUUGGUAGUUAUUGUCUAGUAAUAUGUAGAUCCCAGAUUGAAUUUGAUUUAAAAUCCACGAGCAUCGCUCCCGCAAAUGUUUCAUGUAAAAUUUUCUUUGUUUAAUCCAAUGGCAAAUAAAUUUGUUUUCAGUUCAAGAAAUUUUAUCAAUUACGUUAAUAAUUAGUCCUAACAUGAUUAUUUGAUUUUUUUUUAUUUCUUCAGUUCGUAUUGUUUGAACUAGUUUACAUGACGAGUAGUGCAAUGGGUCCAUAUAUUAUAUAUGAAUGGGAAUUUAUCACUAAUAUAUUAUAUAUGUGUCCAUAUAUUAUACUAUUCGUGGUCAAUAGCUGUAGCCAGGAGUGGCUCUCCUUGUUGAUAAACUGAAAUUAGCGCAAACCUUGAGGACAGGCAUGAAAAAAUGGGAACACGAGCAUGAUUUGUGAUGAGAUAUAAUAUAGUUGAACCCAUGCCUUGACUGAUUCAAUAGAAAGGAGGGAAAAAAGAAGGAAAACAGGGGCAAGCAAUAAAGAAGAAGCAAAUUAUAAUCAUGGCUUCUAUAGCUGAUCGGGAAGAAGAGACAAAUAAUUUUUCAUAUGCAAUGGAACUGGCAAGUGCCAUAGUGCUACCUGCAGCUAUGCAAGCAGUGGUAGAGCUUGAUGUGUUUGAGAUCAUAAGCAAAGCCGGUCCUGGUGCUAAGCUUUCGGUUUCGGAAAUUGUGGCUCAAAUUCCCUUAAAAGAUAAUAAUCCUGAAGCUGCAGCCAUGACGUUGGAUCGGGUGCUGAGGCUGCUUGUCAGCUACAAUGCUCUUCAUUGCUCUUUUGUUGAUGGACAAAGGCUCUACUCUCUUGCCCCUGUUUCUGCGUACUUUGUUCGCAAUAAUCAAAACGGCG